RNAcentral lists this ribosomal RNA (423 nucleotides) under uncultured bacterium. RNAcentral's name for it is "partial 16S ribosomal RNA". It matches the Rfam family "Bacterial small subunit ribosomal RNA", at positions 360 to 775 of the family's 1533-position model. The record is from RNAcentral.
AAUUUUGGACAAUGGGGGAAACCCUGAUCCAGCCAUCCCGCGUGUAUGAUGAAGGCCGUCUGGUUGUAAAGUACUUUUGGCAGAGAAGAAAAGGUACCUCCUAAUACGAGGUACUUCUGACUGUAGCUACUUAAUAUCAUCCGGCUAACUACGUGCCAGCAGCCGCGGUAAUAAGUAGGGUGCAAGCGUUAAGUGGAAUUCCUUGGCGUAAAGCGUGUGUAGGCGGUUCGGAAAGAAAGAUGUGCAAUCCCAGGGCUCAACCUUGGAACUGCAUUUUUAACUGCCGAGCUAGAGUAUGUCAGAGGGGGGUAGAAUUCCACGUGUAGCAGUGAAAUGCGUAGAUAUGUGGAGGAAUACCGAUGGCGAAGGCAGCCCCCUGGGAUAAUACUGACGCUCAGACACGAAAGCGUGGGGAGCAAACAG